This is a long non-coding RNA of Macaca mulatta (Rhesus monkey), 4709 nucleotides long. The record is from Ensembl. Lineage: Eukaryota; Metazoa; Chordata; Mammalia; Primates; Cercopithecidae.
AUGGGAGGACAGCUCAGCCUUCCAGUCCCCCGGCGUGCCACUGAGGCCUGCAGCGCAGCUGGGUCACCCUCAGAACGCCGGACCCGGAGCAAGGGCGAACACCGUGAGGCGCUGCGCUCGUGGCUUGCAUGUGGCGUCCACGUUGAAACGAAGCAGGCUCGACGCUGGAAACUCGCUUCACCCACCCGCCCCUUCGCCAUCCGCUGGCGGCGACUGCACGCCCAGAAUCCCCCGUGCGCUUCCCACGCCUCUUGGACGGCCGCCCCGGAAGCGCGCUCGCCCUGGAGGUCGCAGAACGAGCGGCCCCAGACGCAGCUGCAUCCUGGAAUUGUUCUGAGAAAUCUGGGACCUGCCCCACCUCCACCCAGGCAGGGGGCACCAGCCAGCUCCAGAGUUGCCCACCUUCCCUCACAGGCGCACAGGUCAGUGCCAGGCCAACCCCAGAGCGAGAACACCGGUGCUGGACUGUGCUGAAGCAGCGAGGUGGCCUGCACAGGGGCAGCAAGGGAGGUGUCGGACGGAGCCACCCCACGGUUCCCCUGUGAAAGUCUGCACGUCACUCAGAAAGUUGAAGCAAACGAAGCAGGGCUGGAGCUCACAGUUCACAGCUGGCCAGGCUGCACAGGGGAUGCGCCAAGGACAGUUUCCUACAACAAGUGGAAAUCUGUGUGCUGCAGGUGAGCUGGGUCCUGGAAAGUGCAGGGACCAGCCAGCAUCUCGGGACAUCAAGGGCUGUCUCCAGCCAGCAGAUUUCCCAUAAAAAGGUGCUGAACUGGGGACAAAGCUGAUUCUACAGAGCUGAGAAUCCAGACCUUCCCUGGGGACUCCCAAGGGGGCCCUGGCCACCCUCUCCACCUGCAGAGGUUUCCUGGCCCAAUAGCUCCUCCUCUGAGGGCCCCCUUCCAGCUCUCGGCCAAUGGGGGAGCCAGUUCCUCAGCUCUGGGCUUGGUGGACAGGAGACCUAGGGCUCCCUGCACCGAGCUGGGCUCAGUGUUUUCUUUUUUGUUGUUUUUUUUGAGACGGAGUCUCGCUCUGUCGCCCAGGCUGGAGUGCAGUGGCCAGAUCUCAGCUCACUGCAAGCUCCGCCUCCCGGGUUUACGCCAUUCUCCUGCCUCAGCCUCCCAAGUAGCUGGGACUACAGGCACCCGCCACCUCGCCCGGCUAGUUUUUUUGUACUUUUUUAGUAGAGACGGGGUUUCACCGUGUUCGCCAGGAUGGUCUCGAUCUCCUGACCUCGUGAUCCGCCCGUCUCGGCCUCCCAAAGUGCUGGAAUUACAGGCUUGAGCCACCGCGCCCGGCCUGGGCUCAGUGUUUUCAAGCUGAACUUGGUGCGAGGUGGCUUGGAAAGCUGGGAGCCUGCUGCGUGUCUCCUGGGGCUGCUGUGAAAAAAUGACCACACACUGGGAGCCUAAAACAACCGACAUUUAUCCUGUCACAGUUCAGGCAGCUGGAGUCCAAAAUCAGUGGUUGGGAGGGUGGCCUUCCCUCUAAAGGCUCUGGGCGGCUGCUUCCUGCCCCUUCCAGCUCUGGGCCCCUGGCAUUCCCUGGCUUGCGGCUGUACCACCCCCAACCCCAAGCUUCCUUCCUGUGACUCUGUGUCCAAAUUUUCCCUUCUUUUCUUUUUCUUUUUCUUUUUUUUUUCCCAAGAUGGAGUUUUGCUCUUGUCGCUCAGGCUGGAGUGCAACAGCAUGAUCUUGGCUCACGGCAACCUCCGCCUCCUGGGUUCAAGCAAUUCUCCUGCCUCAGCCUCCUAAGUAGCUGGGAUUACAAGCACCCACCACCCACACCCAGCUAAUUUUAUAUUUUUAGUAGAGACGAAGUUUCAUCAUGUCUUUCAGGCUGGUCUUGAACUCCUGACCUCACAUGAUCCACCUGCCUCGGCCUCCCAAAGUGCUGAGAUUACAGGCAUGAGCCACAGCACCUGGCCCUGGCCAAUUUUCCUUUUCUUUUUCUCUUUUUUUUUUUUUUGAGAUGGAGUCUUGCUCUGUUGCCCAGGCUGGAGUGCAGUGGCUCAAUCUCAGCUUACUGCAACCUCUGCCUUCCGGGUUCAAGCGAUUCUCCUGCCUCAGCCUCCUGAGUAGCUGAGACUACAGGCGCCCGUCAUCACACCGAGCUAAUUUUUGUAGUUUUCAGUAGAGACGGGGUUUCACUAUGUUGGCCAGGCUGGUCUUGAACUCCUGACCUCAAGUGGUCUGCCCGCCUCGGCCUCCCAAAGUGCUGGGAUUGCAGGCGUGAGAUAUUACACCUGGCCAAUUCUCCUUUUCUUACAAGAACACUGGUCACACUGCAUUCAGAGCCAACCCUAACCCAGUAUCGCCUCAUCCUGAUUUGAUUCUAUGAGCGCAGACCUUGCUUCCGAGCGAGGCCACUUCCUCAGGUACUGGUGGACAUGAGUCUUUGGAGACACUGCUCAACCCACAGCACUCCCCCAGCUUGAUUUCUGUGACUUGUUUUCCCCAGAGGAGGGGUGCCCUGAGAGGUCUCCACUGCCUGACCGGCUCCUUGGUGCCAAGCACUCUGCGAGGCUUCCCAGGGAACAGAGCACACAGGACCGCCCUCCUAGAAAGACCAACCAGCAUCUGAGCUCACAAUUUCCCAGCAGGGCAGUGGGGUGGAGAGAGAAGCCUGGGCUGGGCUGGGCUGGCGAAGCUUCUCUGGGGAGGGGACGUCAGAACAGGGUCUGGGGCUGACAAAAGCCCGCCCCUGGCUGGGGGCUGAGGGGGCAGGGGGCUGAGCCUGACACAUGGGGAUAGAGGACAGGCUGUGGGAGGGUGUGAACAGGAGAGUGCUUGAAGGGGUGCUGGGGACUUUGAGAGAGGGCAGCUGGCCCUGUCUGGUGGGGAAUGCUGGCCCAGAGACAGGCCAUGGCUGGGGUGGGGUUCAGAAACAGGACCACUGUCUCCCGGGCCAGGGCCCUCCCCAGCUACUACUGGCUUUCCGGCUCUUGGGGUCGGGGGCGGGUCUGUGCCAUGACCCCGCCACUGAGGCUGUGAGGAGGCUGGGGGUGCCCAGGGGCACCAAGGCACACCCCUACUCUCGCACCCAUGUGUGGGCCCGAGCACCUGCUCUGCUGCCCCAAGGAUCUGGUGAUGUUUCCCAGGCAACUGUCUCACACAGCCUAUCUGCCUGGCACUCCCGUAUCCCGUAAAUGCCACCACAUCUGACUACAGGCGGGCGUGUCUGCCUGGCAUCCAUGGGCCAGCAGGUGUGGCAGAGCACAGCCCGCUUCCUGGCUGUGUCGGAAGGCUGCCCGGGCGUUUUGGCUGUUGUUGCCAGCAGGCGAGCAUUGCCAGGGCACUGUGCUUGGGCGCCAGGCCGUUUUGCCACGUGGGAAGGGGUGGAGACAGCCCAGUGCCUUCAGCGUGUACCCAGGGUGCCUGCUGGUCACACGUCUCACUGGGAAAUUGGGAGGGUGCACUGCCAUCGGGCUGCUUAGGCCUGCCAGCCUCCGGGCCUGUCACUGCUGUCUUAGCCUGAUUUGCAGGGUGUGAGCGCUGGGCAGAGACGAUCAUCCGGGGGACUCUGAGGAUGCCAGUGGCUGGGACACUUGUUCCUUCGUGGUGGAAGGAGUUGGAGAGGGUUGGCUCCCUGACCUGCAACCAGCAGACCUCAACGGGCUUCUGAAACCAGCUCAGUGGGCUGGGGCCUGAUCCAUCAUCCAUAAAUGCGUCCUUUUAUGCCACAGAGGGUGAGGGGCCUCCUCGCCCACCGGUUUGCAGGUGUGGCAGUACGAGAUGGGCGGCUCCGAUGCCCCCACCCACUUGAACACCUUCGGCUCUGCCUGGGGUGCAAACUCCCACGGCUGAAACAUUUUUUUGUAAACAUGAAUUUCGGCUUAGCAAAAACUCAUUUCCACACUGCACGUGUCAGUUCCAACCAGAAAUUAUUUUCCAAUAAAGCAAAACUCCCUGUCACCACAGUAGCAGCAGCUGGCUCUGAAGAAGUGGAGCCUUUUCACCAGGCUCAACUUUGAAACUUCCACCAGCACCAGCACCACUGUGUCUGCUGAUAACUUUGGGACAGGCGGGACGAGGUGUGUUUGUUGGAGGCGAACACGCUUCCUUGUCUUGAGAGUCUUGAGUGGCCGGUCCCCUUCCAGGCCCUUGGCUGGCAGGCAGCUGUCGGGAGAGCUGUCAGGAGGGAGGGGAUUGGGGGUCAGGCUUCCUGACAAGUGGAGGCACCCACCAUGUGCCCAGAGCAGAGGUCACCCCAGUGCCUUUCUCUGUGGACUUAUCCCUGGCUGUAGGUCACAGGGGCCUGCCCCACUGCCCCCUCCCCCGUGGUGACAUGGGAGGAGGGGAAAUUAAUCCAGAGCAGCAGAUAAACCAGAGGGGAAGAGCCCCCAGGAGGACAACUGUGACAUGUUGCACUGCCUCUGCGUCCCCAAAGCACCAGGCCCAGAGGCCCUGCUUUCUGCCACAUGGCACUGGCAUGGGGCCCCGGCACCUCUUCCCUGGUGGCCAAGGGUAAAUGAGGCCCACUGGGGUGACUAAGACCAAAGGGGAUGGGGGCCCCCCAGCUUCGGUGCUGCAGGCUGGAGCCAGGCUCAGCUAGCCCCGAGGUCCCCUGCAGGCUCGUGCCUCCUAGCCUUGGGGCACCUGCAGUGAGAGCUUCCCAAGCAGCCCGUGCCAGCCAGGCAGCGCAGGUGUCCCAGGUCUGGGCCACUUGAGACGCCUCCCUGCUCCUGCUUUGCUCUGCCCCUCUUGGGC